GGCUCAGAACGAACGCUGGCGGCGUGGAUUAGGCAUGCAAGUCGAGCGAGAAAGUUUCCUUCGGGAAGCGAGUAAAGCGGCGACCUGGUGAGUAACAGGUGGGCAACGUGCCCUCGAGUUGGGGACAACCUUCAGAAAUGGAGGCUAAUACCGAAUGCGCCCUCGGUUCCGCAUGAGGCUGAGGGGAAAGACGUUUCGGCGUCGCUCGAGGAUCGGCCCGCCCCCGAUUAGCUUGUUGGCAGGGUAACGGCCUACCAAGGCAACGAUCGGUAGCUGGUCUGAGAGGAUGGUCAGCCACACUGGGACUGAGAUACGGCCCAGACUCCUACGGGAGGCAGCAGUCUAGAGGCUUCGGCAAUGGGGGCAACCCUGACCGAGCGACGCCGCGUGUGGGACGAAGGCCGUGAGGUUGUAAACCACUGUCAGCGGGGAAGAAGGCCCGGAUGGCGAAUCCGGGAUUGACGGUACCCGCGGAGGAAGCCCCGGCUAACUACGUGCCAGCAGCCGCGGUAAUACGUAGGGGGCGAGCGUUGUUCGGAUUUACUGGGCGUAAAGCGUGCGUAGGCGGUUUGGCAAGUCUGACGUGAAAUCUGCACCGCUCAACGGGCAGGGGUCGUUGGAUACUACCAGGCUAGAGGACGAGAGAGGAGAGCGGAAUUCCAGGUGUAGCGGUGGAAUGCGCAGAUAUCUGGAAGAACACCAGUGGCGAAGGCGGCUCUCUGGCUCGUUUCUGACGCUGAGGCACGAAAGCCAGGGGAGCAAACGGGCUUAGAUACCCCGGUAGUCCUGGCUGUAAACGGUGAGCGCUAGGUGUGGGGGGUAUCGACCCCCUCCGUGCCGAAGUCAACACAUUAAGCGCUCCGCCUGGG
This 869-nucleotide ribosomal RNA is filed under the name uncultured bacterium. RNAcentral describes it as "bacterial SSU rRNA". It matches the Rfam family "Bacterial small subunit ribosomal RNA", at positions 21 to 877 of the family's 1533-position model. The record is from RNAcentral.